Molecule: non-coding RNA, 119 nt
Filed under: uncultured eukaryote
Lineage: Eukaryota
Source: RNAcentral
AAAAAGGGAAAGAAACAAAAAGAAGAAGACUAAAAAAAGGAAAGAAUAAAAAAGAAUUUUUUGGUUCCUGAGGCUCCAGUGGUGUCUGUGAACCGUUUUAAUCUCCGGUUUCUUCAUCA